CACAUUAUUUUCUAACAGUUCCACAUGAUGCUGUUGCUCUCUUAAAUUAACGUUAAUAUUUGGAGUGAAGUCAAGGGUGUAACCAUGGAUAUGCAAGUGAAUGUAACGUUAAUGGUCUUCGUGGGUGUGCAAAUAUCAAAAGUUAAUUGACGUUCUUAAGAACAAACCAAGCCAUGGUAUGAUGCCUUCUAUACUAAGCUAAGGUUACCUACUAUUUAGGUAUCUAGUUACUUACUGUCUGAAACCCAACCCCCCCCC
Ictalurus furcatus (blue catfish) is the source of this 258-nucleotide long non-coding RNA. RefSeq lists it as uncharacterized. The transcript has 2 exons. NCBI's taxonomy places the organism in Eukaryota, Metazoa, Chordata, Actinopteri, Siluriformes, Ictaluridae. The record is from RefSeq and is a predicted model, not a curated record.